RNAcentral lists this ribosomal RNA (486 nucleotides) under uncultured bacterium. RNAcentral describes it as "bacterial SSU rRNA". It matches the Rfam family "Bacterial small subunit ribosomal RNA", at positions 30 to 510 of the family's 1533-position model. The record is from RNAcentral.
AUUGAACGCUGGCGGCAUGCCUUACACAUGCAAGUCGAACGGCAGCACGGGAGCAAUCCUGGUGGCGAGUGGCGAACGGGUGAGUAAUAUAUCGGAACGUGCCCAGUCGUGGGGGAUAACGUAGCGAAAGCUACGCUAAUACCGCAUACGAUCUACGGAUGAAAGCGGGGGAUCGCAAGACCUCGCGCGAUUGGAGCGGCCGAUAUCAGAUUAGCUAGUUGGUGGGGUAAAAGCUCACCAAGGCGACGAUCUGUAGCUGGUCUGAGAGGACGACCAGCCACACUGGAACUGAGACACGGUCCAGACUCCUACGGGAGGCAGCAGUGGGGAAUUUUGGACAAUGGGCGAAAGCCUGAUCCAGCCAUGCCGCGUGCAGGAUGAAGGCCUUCGGGUUGUAACUGCUUUUGUACGGAACGAAAGACUCUUUCUAAUAAAGAGGGUCCAUGACGGUACCGUAAGAAUAAGACACCGGCUAACUACGUGCCA